UAAAAAGCCGUACAUCUUUAAAGUCCGAUGCAGUGAUGAAAUUCGGUCUUGCGCAAUGGGAAUCCGUGAACCGUGUCAGGUUGGGAACAAAGCAGCACUAAGCGGAACCUCUCAUGUGCCGUGAGGCAGCCGGGUGGAGCUGCAGCCGGGCUUUGGGAUGUGCGGUUUUUA
This 171-nucleotide signal recognition particle RNA is filed under the name Lachnospiraceae bacterium. Its description in RNAcentral is "signal recognition particle sRNA large type". The stretch from base 40 to 139 matches the Rfam family "Bacterial small signal recognition particle RNA". From Rfam's summary of the family: The signal recognition particle (SRP) is a universally conserved ribonucleoprotein involved in the co-translational targeting of proteins to membranes. Archaeal SRP consists of a 7S RNA and homologues of the eukaryotic SRP19 and SRP54 proteins. Lineage: Bacteria; Bacillati; Bacillota; Clostridia; Lachnospirales; Lachnospiraceae. The record is from RNAcentral.